Syngnathus typhle (broad-nosed pipefish) is the source of this 1221-nucleotide long non-coding RNA. RefSeq lists it as uncharacterized. The record is from RefSeq and is a predicted model, not a curated record. NCBI's taxonomy places the organism in Eukaryota, Metazoa, Chordata, Actinopteri, Syngnathiformes, Syngnathidae. The transcript is spliced from 2 exons.
AAAGGGGAACAGCUAGGUGGGCACGCUCGAAAAGAUUUGAACCAAUUAUGUUCAUGGAAACCUUGUCAUUAUUUGGACUAUUAAAAGAACGUGGCAGGAGAGGAGUAGACAGCAGAGAUGGGGACUCGAGUCACUGUGACUUGGACUCGAGUCGACUCGAGUCGCUGUUUGAAUGACUUGUGACUUGACAAAAAAUAAAAUAACUUGAGACUCGACUUGGAUUUGGAAAUUAAAGACUCGGGACUUGACUUGAGACACGAUGACUUGAAUGACUUCAGUGUUUUUAUUUAGUUUAUGUUUUCAGUUUGAAUAUCAAAUUAAUAAUACAUUUAAAAUAAUAAUAUCGAUAACACGGUAGGAGCGCAGGCUGAGAAUGGCGUUGUCUUGAUUGGAUCACUACCCUGUCAAUCAAUCAGUCGUGCCCGAUCUACGUACAUAACGUGUUUAUUGGAGUAUCACGCCCCAUCACAUGAGUCAUGAGACAUGCACAAACAUGUCAGCGGGAGCGGUACCUUCGGCUAUCGUAAUUACCUUUAUAACGGCAAAAGACGGACAGCACAGUGUAAGAUAUGCAACAGAAACAUUUCAGACAGCCAGAGGACAACUUCCAACUUUGUCCGUCAUUUGAAAAGCCAUUCUGCCCAGUAUGCAGAGUACGAAAAGAUGAGAAACACCUGCACUGAUGCAGCGCAGCCUGCAAUUUCCCAGUUCACAUUUGCAACUCAAAUGUGUCAGACACUGUCGGCAGACGUUAAUUUGUUUAGGUUGAGCUGUCAAUAAAUCAUUGUAUGAGGUAAUUUCUUUUUUGUUUGAUUCCAUGGUGUAUUUGUAUUGACAGUGCAAAUCCAAAUUAUUGUCAGAUUUUUUAAACAGGUUAGACACAUUGGACAAUGAUGGCUACUUAAAGUUACUUAUAUCUGUCACGUCUCGUCACCGGGUGCUUUAUUAUGUCUAGGUUACCAUGGUUUCUGUUCGUGUCGCUCCUCCCCUCCUGUGUAGCCUCACGAUCAAUGUAAUGACUGUAUUUAAGUCCUGUCUGCCCUGCACUCCCUGUCAGAUCAUUGAUGUCGUCGCGUCUGUUGUCGUACUGUCUUGUUGUUGUCAUGUCCUGCUGCCUUCUUCUCUCACGUCCCGGUCAGUCAAGUUAUUGUUUUGUUAAGUCAUGUCAGUUUGCCGAGUCUGUUCGUUUAUUUUCUCCAAUAAACCCUGGUCCAAGCUGCA